CAGGGACCUAGUCGCAAGUGACACAGCUGUUCUUGGCCUAGGGGCGUGGCUAAGGGAGUGUCUGACAAGUUCUAGGUCAUUGGUAAAGCGGAGAUCUGGGUAGAGAAUUAGGAUUGGUUGUUUGGGGGAGGUUUUACCAGCUGACGCCGGGGCGGGUGAUUGAGUUCAUCUUACCCCAACGUACACACUUCUUAAAGACUUGCGAAACUUCUCCCCUCCUUCUCUUUAUGUCUAUCUCGCCUCUUACUUAUUUUAUGAAUUCUUUUGAGCUACGGUCUUGGCUGUGUUGCCCAGUCGCACUUCUGGGCUUAAAAAUAUCCUUCUUCCUCAGCUUGCUAAGUAGCUGGAUCUACAGGUGCUUGGCACAGGGCCUGACCCACGCGACUUUCACUGUGUUCACAAUGGGCCAGACAGCCAAGUUAAGUUCCCUGCAUCCCUGUGCGGGAUUGGCUGGGUGACUGACAUUUUCUGACGCUGAAACAGCUGGAAAGUGACAGAGGCUCUCAAGUCAUAAGGCUUACAGCUGUCUGAAUUCCCCUUUACUGCUUUAAAUUUCAGGAGGUGGGACCUUGUGAUGAUCUCAUGUUAGCCCAGGUUGGCCUCAGACUCACUAUGGACUUGGGGCUAGCCUUAAAUUUCUGAUCCUCCCUUCUCCACUUCCCAAAUGCUGAGAUCACAGCAGGGGCUGACAUGAUCUUUCACCAGAUGGACAGAAGCCCAGGUAUCAGAGAGUUCUGUGGCAGAGCCACGGUUGUCUCUGGGUUCAUGAUGGGAUCGAGAGCACGCUGACUUCAGGUUCUGGAGAAAAGGACAGCUGCCGCUGCCACCCAAUAAAGCUGAUGACUUGAGACCUUAUCUCAACACACA
Meriones unguiculatus (Mongolian gerbil) is the source of this 867-nucleotide long non-coding RNA. RefSeq lists it as uncharacterized. The transcript is spliced from 2 exons. NCBI's taxonomy places the organism in Eukaryota, Metazoa, Chordata, Mammalia, Rodentia, Muridae. The record is from RefSeq and is a predicted model, not a curated record.